ACCUGAGGCAUGCAUGUGUCCUGAAUUGGGCGGAAAUUCUCCAGAGAUUGAAAUGGAGAAAUCCUUCACUCUGAUUCAGACCAUUGCAACUGCUGGAGCUUUCUCUGCGAUUUCCUUCUGAGAGUCUGCUCGAAAAGACUUGGGAGAUUUGUUUGAAGAUCUACGUCGUGGAAUCUCCUACUGCGAUUCUUCUUCUGAAACUCCUCAUUCUCGACCUGGCACUGUAUGUCCUUUCCUUCAAUAUGUUUUGGUAGUGAUUUUGGAUGAACUAACGUUCGGAAGCUAUUAAUCUUACCGUUCUCUUGCUUUUA
This is a non-coding RNA of Cucurbita pepo subsp. pepo (vegetable marrow), 311 nucleotides long. Lineage: Eukaryota; Viridiplantae; Streptophyta; Magnoliopsida; Cucurbitales; Cucurbitaceae. The record is from RefSeq and is a predicted model, not a curated record.